UUGAACUGCCGUGGUUGGAAAGAUUUUAUUUUUUUUUCCUCUGGUAAAAUUAAUUGCUGUGUAAGUCAAGAAUAUACUUAACAAAUUUGCUUUCAUUUUGACCUCUUGUUUUUUUGUCUAUCCCUGCCAUGGGUUUGACCCCCGUUGUGCUCAGCUGUGCCUGGAGAACCUCUGCAUCAGAAGUACCGUGAGCAGGGAGAAGGAUGGAAGAGUCUGCUGCGACGCGCCUGGGGAUGGGAUUUCUCCAGUCAGUGCCCCACAGCAGGUGGCAAGCACUUGGUUGCUCUCCUCCCACUUUAUCACAGCUUUAGAGAAUGACCCAGAACAGGAAGGAAGGCUGCCCUCCAGAGCAUGCAUGAGAGACAUCUCCAGACCCCAGGAUAACAUGAGCCUUAAGCUUUGUGACCAGCAAAUCCCUUGCAGAAAAGAACUUUGCUCAGUCUGCAUUCAACUACAUGAAAUUGGUAUAACAUAACGGUUCUGCCAGUUUAUUCAUACAUCUGAUACUUGCUAAUAUGCUUUGAUUUAUUGGCUUUCUCAUAUCACAGUAAAAUUGUAUUUUCACAUACUUUAUUUCCACCCCAAUCCCCAGCAUGCACAGUUCCUGCUGGGCCUUCACAAAUUAAUCUUUGAUAUUUUUUCCUUCGUCUUGCACAAGCAGGGAGCACCAUCCAUCUCGGUUUGAAAUUGGCUGUGCUCCAGCUUUCUGCUUUUCCUUGUUCUCUUUUCUGCUCCCCAUCCCACACCAAUUUCCAGUGGCCACUUCUGUGUGUGUGCUCAUCCCAGCCAUUGCCCUGCAUCUCUAAUGCACAGCGUGGCAGGGGGAUGUGGGGACAGACCUUUGAGCAGCUGUGCUGCAGUUGUUUAAUACAGCACGCGCAGACACACAGGACUACCUGUGUGUGUGGUUUGUUUUUGUUUUUUUUUUGGUGGUGUGUUUUGUAGUUGUUGUUUUUUGAUAUCUAUAUAUUUGUUCUCUCUGCCUCUGGCAUGAAAAACUCAGAGAAACAAAGAAAAGAGCUGCCACCUUUUCAUUCAUCAGCAAAACAAUUUAAUCGACUGAAGCCAAUCUCAGAGAUGAUCUCAAACUGGGGAAACCAGUCAUGCUGUCUGAGACUCCAUACCCAGCUGGGCUCCCAGGUACGAUAGGCAUUGUGCAAGCUUACCGGUUUGUGGUUACAAGGCCUGUGUGUUAGUCUUCAGUCCCUGUGCAGAUAGCAACAUUGCUUGUGCUGCCUUGUCUCUUCUGGAGGCACCCCAAAGUUGCUGUUUGUUUAAAUUUGUGUGUCCAGGGCAUGGAGAGAGAGAGGUG
RNAcentral lists this long non-coding RNA (1312 nucleotides) under Anser brachyrhynchus (Pink-footed goose). Its description in RNAcentral is "lncRNA (ENSABRG00000017239.1)". Lineage: Eukaryota; Metazoa; Chordata; Aves; Anseriformes; Anatidae. The record is from RNAcentral.